UCAGGGUUCUGGGUCCACGGACUGUGGCACACCCUAAACGCAUGCUUCUUCCUGUAGGAAAAUCAAACCACUAGCAUUAAAGAAAUAGUAUCACUUUAUGUGAUGCUUCAAUCAAUUCUCGUUCUAAUGGUACCUCAACAGAGCAUGACUUGAAUGUUUCAUUUGAAUACUGAAAUGACCUUUUAAUCAGAAGAAAGGGUUUUUUGUCAGGGCAUUUGAUCUCUGUAGCAGGGAUGCUUGCCUCUUCACAGGACAAAGUGUCCUCUCUGCAGCUCUCCACUUUUUCAUGAUGCUCAGCCCAGGCCUGGUGUGGCUUUACCCCAGUACAGCGUGCAGGUGUGUACCAUGCUAUGGCCUAGCCACCCAACAGAGUAUGCAGAUCAUCACAUGUUAUGUAUACAGCACAUUCAAUGCUAACAUACAAGUACUAACAUAUAGAGAGACUUGUAGGAAAUGUAUUGUUUAGAUUAAUUAUGUGAUAAAGGGCAAAUAAUGUAGUCUUGGAUCAAUUAUAUACUAUCAGUCUAUCAAUCAUCCUUCACCCCUCAGUGUUCUCACUUGGCCAUUGUCUUUGCAUAGGACUGUGGUGCACUCUGGUCCCAACAUGCGCUCCAACCCAAAGGAAGUCCCCUGGGCUCUGUCUUCCUUCCAGAGGCUUCAGACCAAACCUUACAGUGCAAAUCACGUGCCUACCGUAACAGAGCUAGCUGGCUGUAGGAGUGUUCUGGGAGGGAAGCGGAACUCUGCGAUGGGACAUUCUGCUGGAGACGGACCCCCCCCCAUGUCCUGCUCUCUCUGGGAGGAGUUCCCCAGCCUCACUAACAGACCCUGCAGCUGGACAUCUGUGAUCCGCACACUGCCUGAGGCACUAUGGCACAGCACCGCAGUCAUCAUCACUAUCGUUUCCAUCAUCAUCAUCAUCACCUCCAUCAUCAUCCUCAUCACCAUCAUUAUCAUCAUCAUCUCCAUCACCAUCUUAAUCAUCAUCAUCAAAGUAAGCCAGCACCACAGUCACCUUGGCAUGACAUGACCCUUUCCUACUCCCAAACUGAUUGUGUUCAAGGGUCAUACCUGGAGUAUUCAUGCCUGUGUUGCCUGGCUGUGGACGGCCUCUUCCUUUCCUGUGUCCUGCAGGGAAUGCUCUCCUCCACCACGUCCUUAGUCAGGGAGUGCCAGAUAUCUGUGGUGCGUCAAGUCAAAUAAGUAACAUACAAUCACAUUAACCGUUACUCUCUGGCGGGAAUUCCACUAACGGUCCGUGUGUAGCCAAACGUACCUGCUGCUCAUUCUGUUUGCUUGAUGGAUAAAUGGUAAAAAGAAAUGAAGGCCUGCUUCCAUAGAGAGACAUACCAGCUCUACUGGUAGUGCUGCUACUACCAGCAGUUCUACACCCCUUCGACGACUCAAGUUGUUCUGCUUCCACGAGCACAUCCAAUGUUAGCAUCAGUAAUUCUAUAUUUGUUGUUAGCCCAGCUAGCAUGGACACUGACAGUUGUGAAUCUGAUGCAGCCAAAGAGCUACUGCACCUUACCCGGGAAAGCACCGAACAACAGACAGGGAUGUAGGACCAUCGAAGAGGUGCAAAUAAGAUGAGAACUACAUUGAUUUGGGGUUCACUUAUAUUGGAAGUAGUGCCUUUCCUCAGCUACAGUGUGUUAUAUGUGCCAAAGUACUAUCUCACAACUCAAUGAAACCUUCACUCUUGCGCAGACAUUUAGAAACAAAACAUGCCAAUUUGAAAAAUAAGUCACAGGAGUUUUUUGAGCGAGAAUUAAGAUGGUUUUGAAGUAGUAAGACAUGUAUAAACGCAACAGAUACCAUUUAAUAAGAAGGGGCUAAAGCGUCUUAUAUGGUGAGCUACCGAGUGGCUAGGACAGGCAAGCCCCAUACUAUUGUGGAGGACUUAAUUCUUCCUGCUGCCGCGGAUAUGGCUGGGACAAUGCUGGGGGAAAAGGCCAAAGAAACUAUACAGAAAAUGCCUUCAUCAAACAACACUGUUUCACAAUGCAUCAGUGACAUGGCAGGAGAUGUUUUGAAACAAUUACUGCUUCGCAUUCAAGCCAGGAAAUUCUAUGCGUUACAGCUGGCGGGCCUGGCACAGCUCCUGGUAUAUGUCUGUUACGUUUAUGGGGGGUCAAUUAAGGAAGACAUCCUCUUCUGGAAACCAGGACAAAAGGAGAGGAUUUUUUAAAGUUCUGGACAGCUAUUGUGACAUCAAAUGGACUUUGGUGGUCAAGAUGUGUUGGUAUCUGUACUGAUGGCGCAAAAGCCAUGACAGGGAGACAUAGUGGAGUGGUAAUUCGCGUGCAAGCAGUUGCUCCCGACGCCACUUGGGUACACAGCAGCAUCCACCAAGAGGCUCUUGCUGCCAAGGGAAUGCCUGACAGCUUGAAAGAUGUUUUGGACACUACAGUGAAAAUGGUUAACUUUGUUAAAGCAAGGUCCCUGAACUCUCAUUUAUUUUCUACACUAUGCAAUGAUAUGGGCAGCGACCAUGUAAUGCUUUUACAACAUACAGAUGUGCGCUGGUUAUCAAGGGGCAAAAUAUUGACACGUUUUUUUGAUUUGUGAGACAAGCAUAAACUUUUCUUUACUGACCAUCGUUUUCACUUGUCGUACCGCUUGCAUGAUGACGAGUUUCUCACAUGACUGGCCUAUCUGGGUGAUGUUUUUUCUCGCCUGAAUGAUCUGAAUCUCUAGGAUUACAGGGACUCUCCGCAACUAUAUUCAAUGAGGCUAUGAUUAAGAAGUUGGAGCUCUUCUCUGUCUGCAUUAACAAGGACAACACACAGGUCUUUCCAUCAUUGUAUGUUUUUUUUGUGUGCAAAUGAACUCAAGCUUACGGACAAUAUCAAAUGUGAUAUAGGGAAGCACCUGAGUGAGUUGGGUGCGCAAGUACUUUCUGAUAUCUGAACAAGAGAGCCUCAUCGCAAUUGCAACAAGCGGUUCUGACAAAAUGGAAUUUAAUCAGAAGCCACUGACAGAUUUCUGGAUUGGGCUGUGCUCAGAGUAUCCUGCCUUGGCAAAUCACGCUGUUAAGACACUGAUGCCCUUUGCAACCACGUACCUACGUAUGUGAGUGGAUUAUCGGCCCUCACUAGCAUGAAAACUAAAUACAGGCACAGACUGUGUGUGGAAAAUGAUUUAAGACUGAGACUCUCCAAUACAACCCAACAUUGCAGAGUUAUGUGCAUCCUUUCCAGCAUAACCUUCUCAUUAACCUGUGGUGAGUUAUUCACAAUUUUCGAUUAACAAAUAAGGUUUUAUAUGUACGAUGGUUAAAUAAAUAGAAAAAUGAUUGAAUAUUAUUAUUUGUGCACUGG
This 3323-nucleotide long non-coding RNA is filed under the name Salmo trutta (river trout). RNAcentral's name for it is "lncRNA (ENSSTUG00000042456.1)". The record is from RNAcentral. Lineage: Eukaryota; Metazoa; Chordata; Actinopteri; Salmoniformes; Salmonidae.